GAUGAACGCUGGCGGCGUGCUUAACACAUGCAAGUCGAACGGAAAGGCUCCUGCUUGCAGGGGUACUCGAGUGGCGAACGGGUGAGUAACACGUGGGUGAUCUGCCCUGCACUUCGGGAUAAGCCUGGGAAACUGGGUCUAAUACCGGAUAGGACGAUGGUUUGGAUGCCAUUGUGGAAAGUUUUUUCGGUGUGGGAUGAGCUCGCGGCCUAUCAGCUUGUUGGUGGGGUAAUGGCCUACCAAGGCGUCGACGGGUAGCCGGCCUGAGAGGGUGUGCGGCCACAUUGGGACUGAGAUGCGGCCCAGACUCCUACGGGAGGGAGCAGUGGGGAAUAGUGCACAAUGGGCGGAAGCCUGAUGCAGCGACGCCGCGUGGGGGAUGACGGCCUUCGGUUUGUAAAGUCCUUUCGCUAGGGACGAAGCGCAAGUGACGGUACCUGGAGAAGAAGCACCGGCUAACUACGUG
RNAcentral lists this ribosomal RNA (466 nucleotides) under uncultured bacterium. RNAcentral describes it as "partial 16S ribosomal RNA". It matches the Rfam family "Bacterial small subunit ribosomal RNA", at positions 28 to 507 of the family's 1533-position model. The record is from RNAcentral.